ACUCCUACGGGAGGCAGCAGUGGGGAAUAUUGCACAAUGGGCGCAAGCCUGAUGCAGCGACGCCGCGUGAGGGAUGACGGCCUUCGGGUUGUAAACCUCUUUCACCCAUGACGAAGCGC
RNAcentral lists this ribosomal RNA (119 nucleotides) under uncultured Rhodococcus sp. RNAcentral describes it as "partial 16S ribosomal RNA". It matches the Rfam family "Bacterial small subunit ribosomal RNA", at positions 335 to 453 of the family's 1533-position model. The record is from RNAcentral. Lineage: Bacteria; Bacillati; Actinomycetota; Actinomycetes; Mycobacteriales; Nocardiaceae.